RNAcentral lists this ribosomal RNA (468 nucleotides) under uncultured bacterium. Its description in RNAcentral is "partial 16S ribosomal RNA". It matches the Rfam family "Bacterial small subunit ribosomal RNA", at positions 28 to 507 of the family's 1533-position model. The record is from RNAcentral.
GACGAACGCUGGCGGCGUGCUUAACACAUGCAAGUCGAACGGAAAGGCCCUGCUUUUGUGGGGUGCUCGAGUGGCGAACGGGUGAGUAACACGUGAGUAACCUGCCCUUGACUUUGGGAUAACUUCAGGAAACUGGGGCUAAUACCGGAUAGGAGCUCCUGCUGCAUGGUGGGGGUUGGAAAGUUUCGGCGGUUGGGGAUGGACUCGCGGCUUAUCAGCUUGUUGGUGGGGUAGUGGCUUACCAAGGCUUUGACGGAUAGCCGGCCUGAGAGGGUGACCGGCCACACUGGGACUGAGAUACGGCCCAGACUCCUACGGGAGGCAGCAGUGGGGAAUAUUGCACAAUGGGCGGAAGCCUGAUGCAGCAACGCCGCGUGCGGGAUGACGGCCUUCGGGUUGUAAACCGCUUUCGCCUGUGACGAAGCGUGAGUGACGGUAAUGGGUAAAGAAGCACCGGCUAACUACGUG